UACGUAGGGGGCAAGCGUUGUCCGGAUUUAUUGGGCGUAAAGAGCGUGUAGGCGGUUUGGUAGGUCCGCUGUGAAAACUCGAGGCUCAACCUCGAGACGCCGGUGGAAACCAUCAGACUAGAGUCCGGAAGAGGAGAGUGGAAUUCCUGGUGUAGCGGUGAAAUGCGUAGAUAUUGGGAGGAACACCAGUGGCGAAGGCGGCUCACUGGACCGGUACUGACGCUGAUGCGCGAAAGCGUGGGGAGCAAACGGG
Molecule: ribosomal RNA, 253 nt
Filed under: uncultured bacterium
Lineage: Bacteria
Description: partial 16S ribosomal RNA
Rfam family: Bacterial small subunit ribosomal RNA
Source: RNAcentral